AGAUGGUACAGUGUCUUGUAUACAUGCUGAGGUAAUAAUAAACUCAAGCUACGCGGGCCUGUGAGGAGGGAAAGCACAUCUGUUAGGUACAGGGGAGUCACCGUGCUGACAGGAGUCUGUGUUGGGAGAGAGCUCAGGGGAUCCGGUGGAAGGUUUACUUUCAUCCGCGGGAGAAGUGACAAAGGAGAGAACCUGUAGAGAUUAAAAUGCAAACCAGAAAUGAUGAGAGGUGUUCCUCUAUGGAUGAAACAUGCAGCGCAGAAAGGGAGCUCAGAACAGGCUUCUGGAUUGCCAGAAAGCUUGCAUUUCACCAAGUGACAACUGGAUUAUUGUGGCAACUUUUGCUUAAAAUAAAAGUACCUGUACUGAAUAUAUCACUCCUUCAACUACACUCCAACACACAGAGCGAGUGUUCCUGGGGGUAGCCUACUCUUUCCUCUUUUAUUCUUCCCAUAAUAUUUGUUUCCUGAUCCAAUUUACAGAACAGGAUCAUCUUACAAGUACAGAAGAUAGCAUUUAUUUUUGCAUUUUAGAUUCUUGUGGGUUUUCCCUUUUUGUUUCAAAUGUAAUAGCAAAAACACAGCAGAAGCCAAGAAUGUGUGGUUUCUGUGAAUGCUUACACUUUUCUGCAAAGUUUCAAAGAAAUAUUUAAUAAAC
Molecule: long non-coding RNA, 657 nt
Filed under: Fukomys damarensis (Damara mole-rat)
Lineage: Eukaryota; Metazoa; Chordata; Mammalia; Rodentia; Bathyergidae
Description: lncRNA (ENSFDAG00000026458.1)
Source: RNAcentral